This 1301-nucleotide long non-coding RNA is filed under the name Mytilus galloprovincialis (Mediterranean mussel). The record is from RNAcentral. Lineage: Eukaryota; Metazoa; Mollusca; Bivalvia; Mytilida; Mytilidae.
UAGCAAGUCUUUUCAAUUGCACAGUAUUGCGCAAUGGCAAGAAAUAUCUAAUUGCACAAUAUUGUGAAAUAGCAAAUUUUUUUUUAAUUAGAGUUAUUUUCUUUGUCCAGAAUAGUAAGCAAGAAAUAUCUAAUUGCAAAAUAUUGUGCAAUAGCAAGAUUUUUUUUUUAAUUGGAGUUAUCUUUCUUUGUCCAGAAUCAACUUAAAUCUUUGUUAUAUACAAUAUACAAUGUAUAUUCACUUUUUACUACCAACUGAUAAAUUAAAAUAAUCUUUACCAUUCAGUGAUAACAAGCAGUUUUUUUACAUCUUAAUAUUUUAUGAUGUAUUUAAAUGAACAGUUAUUGUUGCAAACUACAUUAGAAAUUUUAAUUGAGAUUAGUUUUGGAAUAAGGGAAAGGGGGAUGUGAUUAAAAAAAUUGGGUUCAAUUUUUCUCAUUUGAAAUUUCAUAAAUAAAAAAGAAAAUUUCUUCAAACAUUUUUUUGAGAGGAUUAAUAUUCAACAGCAUAGUGAAUUGCUCUAAGAGAAAACAAAAAUUUUAAGUUCAUUAGAACACAUUCAUUCUGUGUCAACUAUUUAAUCACAAUCCAAAUUUAGAGCUGAAUCCAGCUUGAAUGUUGUGUCCAUACUUGCCCCAACCGUUCAGGGUUCAUUUUUAUUGUUUUAUACAAUAAACAAUGUAUAUUCACUUUUACUACCAACCAAUCUUUACCAUUCAGUGAUAACAAGCACUUUAUUUUACAUUUUAAUAUUUUAUGAUGUAUUUAAAAGAGUAGUUAUUGUUGCAAACUCCAUUAGAAAUUUGAAUUGAUAUCAGUUUUGGAAAAAGGAAAACAGGGAUGUGAAAAAAAAGGGGGGGGUUAAAUUUUUCUCAUUUCAGAUUUCAUAAAUAAAAAGAAAAUUUCUUCAAACAUUUUUUUGAGAGGAUUAAUAUUCAACAGCAUAGUGAAUUGCUCAAAGGCAAAAAAAAAACUUUAAAGUUCAUUAGACCACAUUCAUUCUGUGUCAGAAACCUAUGCUGUGUCAACUAUUUAAUUUUAGAUUUAAAAAGUUUGAAGAAGAAAUCUUUAAUUGAUUUGUAAAAUUUUGACAUUUGUUUUGUGUAAAAAAAACCCAUGUAAUGUCAAAAAUUUGAUCACAAUCCAAAUUCAGAGCUGUAUCAUGCUUGAAUGUUUUGUCCAUACUUGCCCCAACUGUUCAGGGUUCGACCUCUGCGGUCGUAUAAAGCUGCGCCCUGCGGAGCACCUGGUAUUUUUUUUGUUUUUGUUUUUGUUUUUGUUUAUUUUUUUUAUUGUUGCAG